AGGUCAGUUAUAGAGAGGUAAAUGUGAAGGAUUUAGAUAAGGUAUUUCUGAGACAUACAUAGGUCAUUAGAUAGAAGACUUGUUAGUAAUGAGCGUCUAUUUUUGGGUUUUGUGCAUGUGAGAUUAAGUGCAUCGCUAUAUAAAUAAACUGGUUUUCUCUUUUAGGGGAUGAAAUUUUAGCUGUAAAUGGACAUGUUUGCCAUGACAUAUCACAUGCAGAAGCGGUCUUGCUAUUUAAAAGUAUCAAAAGCGGUCCAGUAGCAUUACAUAUUUGCAGAAGAACUCGAAAUAAGUCGAUGUCAACGAAAGCGAUGUCCUGCACGGACAUAAUACAGUCGUCAGUCAACCCAACGGCUUAAAAUGCACACCAAUGAAUAAUCUGAUUUAAAUUUUGUACAAACGUAUCAAGCAUAUAUUUUAAUAAAUUAAUAAUAUAAUACA
This is a long non-coding RNA of Agrilus planipennis (emerald ash borer), 441 nucleotides long. RefSeq lists it as uncharacterized. NCBI's taxonomy places the organism in Eukaryota, Metazoa, Arthropoda, Insecta, Coleoptera, Buprestidae. The record is from RefSeq and is a predicted model, not a curated record. The transcript is spliced from 2 exons.